GUUGAAAGCCGCGGCACAACACAUGCAGUCGUAACAAGGUAACCAAGAUGUUGCUGAUUCUCUCAUUACGUCGCUUGGCAUGAGUAAUGACUGGGAAACUGCCUGAUGGAGGGGGAUAACUACUGCAAACGGUGGCUAAUACCGCAUAACGUCGCAUGACCAUACAGGGGGACCUUCGGGCCUCUUGCCAUCUUGUGUGCCCAAAUGGGAUUAGCUAGUAUGUGAUGUAACUGCUCACCUAUGCGACGAUCCCUAGGUGGGUGAUAGGAUGACCAUGCACCCUGGAACUGAUACACGGGCCAUACUCCUACGGGAGGCUGAAACGGGGAAUAUUGUCCUAUGGGAGGAAGCCUGAUGCAAUCUUGCCCCGUGUAUGAAGAAGGGCUUCAGGUUGUACAGUACUUUCAGCGGGGAUGAAGGGACUAAAGUUUCUACCUUUGCUCAUUGACGUACCCCGCAGAAAAUGAUCCGGCUAACUCCGUGUCUACACCCACGGUAAUACCUAGGGUGCAGCCGGUAGUCGCAAUUACUGGGCGGAGAGCACCCUCAGGCGGAUUGAUUGGUCAUAUGUGAAGUCCCCGGGCUCACCCUGGGAACUGCAUCUGAUACUGGGAAGCUUGAAUCACGUAGAGGGGAGUAUGAUUCAAUGUGUAGCGGAGAAAUGCGUAGAGAUCUGGAGUAAUACCGGGGGAUGAGGCGAUCCCCUGGACAAAGACUGACGCUCAGGUGCGAAAGUGUGCUGAACUGCCGGAUUAGAUACCCUGGUGUCCACGCCGCAAGAUAUGACAACUUGGAGGUUGUGCCGUGAGGCAUGACUUCUCGGAGCUAACGCGUUACUCGACUGUCCUGGCGGAGUACUGACCGCAUAGGUCAAUACUCCUAUGAGAUUGACGAGCGGCACGCACGAAACGCAGGAGCAUGUGGGUUAGAUCCGAUGCAACGCGAGGAACCUGUACCUGGUACUUCGACAUCUACGGAAGUAUUCUUGACAUGGACAUGUGCCUCUGCAAUGUGAGACAGUAGCUGCAUGCUGUCGUCAGCUCAUGACUGUGAAUGCAUGGGUGACGUCCGCUACGAUCGCACCCGUAUCUUAGUGCCAA
Molecule: ribosomal RNA, 1100 nt
Filed under: Escherichia sp.
Lineage: Bacteria; Pseudomonadati; Pseudomonadota; Gammaproteobacteria; Enterobacterales; Enterobacteriaceae
Description: bacterial SSU rRNA
Rfam family: Bacterial small subunit ribosomal RNA
Source: RNAcentral